UCACAAUGAAAGUCCAGUUAGCAGACUAGCUGACUGAGGCAAUUGUGGGGAAGAAAACUACUCCCCACUAGCAGAAAACUGCUACUUGCACCAAGAGUCCAGGAAUUAACAUCUUCAGUUAUGUUUUUCUCUCCAAUUCCCCCAUCACCAAGAGUAAGCCAGCUCUGUCUGUCGAGAUGCCCAGGCUGUGUGGCAGUGGUGUCAAAGGCUGCCACUUGCUCCAAGGCACUGCCAUCUGCAACAGCACAACAUUUUGACUCCGGAAAGUAAACACAUCUGCCUUUGCCAGUGUCCUCCCACUGUGCCACCCAUCUGGAGCAGAAACACACCAAAAAACGCCUAGUGGUGUUCUGGAAGCUUCUUGCCACUUCUAGGCUUCUGCUAAUUGGCUGAGCCUCGUGGUUUCUUCUGGAUUGAACUGCUGUUGCUGACUUGCUAAUGGUACUAGCGAGUUGAUCAAGUUGCUUGGUGCCUGUUGUGGGGGCCUCCUCUACAGCUACUCAGCUGCUGCCUUGACAGAUGAGUCAAUAUGCAUCUCAAAAACUGGGUAAAGUUGUGUUGAUUGUCACUUAAGUUCAAACUUUCCAAAUGCAACCCCAGCUUCAAGGCAAAUGAAUAACAAUGGCAAAGAUCUA
Molecule: long non-coding RNA, 635 nt
Organism: Rattus norvegicus (Norway rat)
Lineage: Eukaryota; Metazoa; Chordata; Mammalia; Rodentia; Muridae
Source: RefSeq, a predicted model, not a curated record